Molecule: transfer RNA, 63 nt
Filed under: Chloracris brunneri
Lineage: Eukaryota; Metazoa; Arthropoda; Insecta; Orthoptera; Tettigoniidae
Description: tRNA-Arg
Source: RNAcentral
UAAUAAGAAGCAAAAUUGCACUCAGUUUCGACCUGAACAUAGAUGAAUAUUCAUCCUUAUUAA